This 466-nucleotide ribosomal RNA is filed under the name uncultured bacterium. Its description in RNAcentral is "partial 16S ribosomal RNA". It matches the Rfam family "Bacterial small subunit ribosomal RNA", at positions 28 to 507 of the family's 1533-position model. The record is from RNAcentral.
GACGAACGCUGGCGGCGUGCUUAACACAUGCAAGUCGAACGGACAGGCCCUGCUUUCGGGGUACUCGAGUGGCGAACGGGUGAGUAACACGUGGGUGAACUGCCCUGCACUUCGGGAUAAGCUUGGUAAACUGGGUCUAAUACCGGCUAGGAACCAUCUUUAGUGUGGUGGUUGGAAAGUUUUUUCGGUGUAGGCUGGGCUCGCGGCCUAUCAGCUUGUUGGUGGGGUAAUGGCCUACCGAGGCGGCGACGGGUAGCCGGCCUGAGAGGGUGUACGGCCACAUUGGGACUGAGAGGCGGCCCAGACUCCGACGGGAGGCAGCAGUGGGGAAUAUUGGACAAUGGGAGCAAGCCUGAUGCAGCGACGCCGCGUGGGGGAUGAAGGCCGUCGGGUUGGAAACUCCUUUCGCUAGGGACGAAGCUUUGUUGUGACGGUACCUAGAUAAGAAGCACCGGCUAACUACGUG